RNAcentral lists this ribosomal RNA (245 nucleotides) under uncultured Anaerosolibacter sp. RNAcentral's name for it is "partial 16S ribosomal RNA". It matches the Rfam family "Bacterial small subunit ribosomal RNA", at positions 524 to 769 of the family's 1533-position model. The record is from RNAcentral. Lineage: Bacteria; Bacillati; Bacillota; Clostridia; Peptostreptococcales; Thermotaleaceae.
UACGUAGGGGGCAAGCGUUAUCCGGAAUCACUGGGCGUAAAGGGUGCGUAGGCGGUCGACAAAGUCUGGGGUGAAAGGCUACGGCUCAACCGUAGUAAGCCUUGGAAACUUGUUGACUUGAGUGCAGGAGAGGUAAGUGGAAUUCCUAGUGUAGCGGUGAAAUGCGUAGAUAUUAGGAGGAACACCAGUGGCGAAGGCGACUUACUGGACUGUAACUGACGCUGAGGCACGAAAGCGUGGGGAGC